CCUCAUCAAAAACAUGGCUUUGACCUGCGUCCUCAUCUGGACUCUCCUCUGCUUCACUCAGGGGUCUGUCGGACAAGAUGUUGUCUUGACUCAGCCAACAGCCAAAUCAGUGCAGCUCAGUCAGACUGUAACUAUUAACUGUAGGGCCAGUACUAAAGUAGCUGAGUACUCUGCUCCAAAAUACCACCUGUUCUGGUACCACCAGAAAACUGGAGAAGCUCCUAAAGCUCUGAUCUACUUAACUUCAGACAGAUUUUCAGGAAUCUCCUCCAGAUUCAGUGGAAGUGGAGCAGGAAAUGGGUUAGACUUCACUCUGACCAUCAGUGGAGUCCAGGCUGCAGAUGCAGGAGUUUAUUACUGUCAGAGUUAUCACAGCAUCAACAGUCAGGCUGUGUUCACACAGUGAAAAACAGUCAUACAAAAACCUCCCUCAGUCACACUGAACAGAGACUGAACUGCUGCUGCAGCUGGAAGAUACCACACACACUGAUACAGUUCACUGAACACACACUGUGCAAACACACACUUCAUCCAUCAUUUAUAUGUUCCAACUGAUAUGAUGCUGAUCAAACAUCAGCCUUC
This is a non-coding RNA of Archocentrus centrarchus (flier cichlid), 582 nucleotides long. NCBI's taxonomy places the organism in Eukaryota, Metazoa, Chordata, Actinopteri, Cichliformes, Cichlidae. The record is from the annotation of a RefSeq genome assembly.